ACGAACGCUGGCGGCGUGCUUAACACAUGCAAGUCGAACGGAAAGGCCUGCUUUCCCUUGUGGAUUGCGGGUACUCGAGUGGCGAACGGGUGAGUAACACGUGAGUGAUCUGCCCCCAACUUGGGUAUAAGCCUGGGAAACUGGGUCUAAUUCCCGAUAGGACUGCAGGGUGGUGCCUGUGGUGGAAAACGAUUUUCUAGUGGUUGGGGAUGAGCUCGCGGCCUAUCAGCUUGUUGGUGGGGUAAUGGCCUACCAAGGCGGCGACGGGUAGCCGGCCUGAGAGGGUGGACGGCCACAUUGGGACUGAGAUACGGCCCAGACUCCUACGGGAGGCAGCAGUGGGGAAUAUUGCACAAUGGGCGGAAGCCUGAUGCAGCGACGCCGCGUGGGGGAUGACGGCCUUCGGGUUGUAAACUCCUUUCGACCGCGAGGAAGCCACCUGGCUGGAAGGGUGGUGACGGUAGUGGUAGAAGAAGCACCGGCUAACUACGUG
This 493-nucleotide ribosomal RNA is filed under the name uncultured bacterium. Its description in RNAcentral is "partial 16S ribosomal RNA". It matches the Rfam family "Bacterial small subunit ribosomal RNA", at positions 29 to 507 of the family's 1533-position model. The record is from RNAcentral.